ACGGGGAGCAGCAGGCGCGAAAACUUUGCAAUACACGAAAGUGUGACAGGGUCAUCCCGAGUGCCGACCGCUGAGGUUGGCUUUUACCCAGUCUAGAACGCUGGGGGAAUAAGGAGAGGGCAAGUCUGGUGUCAGCCGCCGCGGUAAUACCAGCUCUCCGAGUGGUGUGGACGUUUAUUGGGCCUAAAGCAUCCGUAGCUGGCUGAACAAGUCCCCUGUUAAAUCCACCGAUUUAAUCGUUGGUCUGCGGGGGAUACUGCUCGGCUAGGGGACGAGAGAGGCAGAUGGUAUUCCCGGGGUAGGGGUGAAAUCCUAUAAUCCCGAGAAGACCACCAGUGGCGAAGGCUGUCUGCUAGAACGCGCCCGACGGUGAUGGAUGAAAGCUGGGGGAGCGAACCGGAUUAGAUACCCGGGUAGUCCCAGCUGUAAACGAUGCAGACUAGGUGUUUGGACGGCCACGUGCCGUUCUAGUGCCGCAGGGAAGCUGUUAAGUCUGCCGCCUGGGGAGUACGAUCGCAAGAUUGAAACUUAAAGGAAUUGGCGGGGGAGCAC
RNAcentral lists this ribosomal RNA (552 nucleotides) under uncultured archaeon. RNAcentral's name for it is "bacterial SSU rRNA". It matches the Rfam family "Archaeal small subunit ribosomal RNA", at positions 325 to 879 of the family's 1478-position model. The record is from RNAcentral.